AGUGAACGCUGGCGGUAGGCCUAACACAUGCAAGUCGAACGGCAGCACAGUAAGAGCUUGCUCUUACGGGUGGCGAGUGGCGGACGGGUGAGGAAUACAUCGGAAUCUACUUUUUCGUGGGGGAUAACGUAGGGAAACUUACGCUAAUACCGCAUACGACCUACGGGUGAAAGCAAGGGAUCUUCGGACCUUGCGCGAUUGAAUGAGCCGAUGUCGGAUUAGCUAGUUGGCGAGGUAAAGGCCCACCAAGGCGACGAUCCGUAGCUGAUCUGAGAGGAUGAUCAGCCACACUGGAACUGAGACACGGUCCAGACUCCUACGGGAGGCAGCAGUGGGGAAUAUUCGACAAUGGGCGCAAGCCUGACCCAGCCAUACCGCGUGGGUGAAGAAGGCCUUCGGGUUGUAAAGCCCUUUUGUUGGGAAAGAAAAGCAGCAGGUUAAUACCCCGCUGUUCUGGCGGUACCCAAAGAAUAAGCACCGGCUAACUUCGUG
This 492-nucleotide ribosomal RNA is filed under the name uncultured bacterium. RNAcentral describes it as "partial 16S ribosomal RNA". It matches the Rfam family "Bacterial small subunit ribosomal RNA", at positions 29 to 507 of the family's 1533-position model. The record is from RNAcentral.